RNAcentral lists this unclassified non-coding RNA (240 nucleotides) under soil metagenome. RNAcentral's name for it is "partial contains 5.8S ribosomal RNA, internal transcribed spacer 2, and large subunit ribosomal RNA". The record is from RNAcentral.
AACCAUAGAAACCUGCGGAGUACCUGCGGAAGGAUCAUUAACGUGCCCGGGGCCCCAGCGGCGUCUCAUCCCUAACCGGGGGGGCGUGUCUAGCGGGUGUCCCCUACCGGCCCCACACUUGUCUACAGACCCAUGUUGCCUCGGCGGGCCCGCCCUUAGCUGGGCCGCCGGGGGGUUAACGCCCCCUGGCCCGCGCCCGCCGGAGGACCCCAACUGAACCUCUUGUCAUAGCGAGUUGCA